UUAGCAUGGAAUAAUGGAAUAGGACGUGCGGUUCUAUUUUGUUGGUUUCUAGGACCGCCGUAAUGAUUAAUAGGGACAGUCGGGGGCAUCAGUAUUCAAUUGUCAGAGGUGAAAUUCUUGGAUUUAUUGAAGACUAACUACUGCGAAAGCAUUUGCCAAGGAUGUUUUCAUUAAUCAGGAACGAAAGUUAGGGGAUCGAAGACGAUCAGAUACCGUCGUAGUCUUAACCAUAAACUAUGCCGACUAGGGAUCGGACGAUGUUAUUUUUUGACUCGUUCGGCACCUUACGAGAAAUCAAAGUGUUUGGGCUCCAGGGGGAGUAUGGUCGCAAGGCUGUAACUUAAAGAAAUUGACGGAAGGGCACCACCAGGGGUGGAGCCUGCGGCUUAAUUUGACUCAACACGGGGAAACUCACCAGGUCCAGACACAAUGAGGAUUGACAGAUUGAGAGCUCUUUCUUGAUUUUGUGGGUGGUGGUGCAUGGCCGUUCUUAGUUGGUGGAGUGAUUUGUCUGCUUAAUUGCGAUAACGAACGAGACCUUAACCUGCUAAAUAGCCCGUAUUGCUUUGGCAGUACGCUGGCUUCUUAGAGGGACUAUCGGCUCAAGCCGAUGGAAGUUUGAGGCAAUAACAGGUCUGUGAUGCCCUUAGAUGUUCUGGGCCGCACGCGCGCUACACUGACGGAGCCAGCGAGUACUUCCUUGUCCGAAAGGUCCGGGUAAUCUUGUUAAACUCCGUCGUGCUGGGGAUAGGGCAUUGCAAU
RNAcentral lists this ribosomal RNA (762 nucleotides) under uncultured Sordariomycetes. RNAcentral's name for it is "SSU rRNA". It matches the Rfam family "Eukaryotic small subunit ribosomal RNA", at positions 804 to 1590 of the family's 1831-position model. The record is from RNAcentral. Lineage: Eukaryota; Fungi; Ascomycota; Sordariomycetes.